UACGGAGGGUGCAAGCGUUAUCCGGAUUCACUGGGUUUAAAGGGUGCGUAGGAGGGCAGGUAAGUCAGUGGUGAAAUCCCCGAGCUUAACUUGGGAACUGCCGUUGAUACUAUCUGUCUUGAAUGUUGUGGAGGUGAGCGGAAUAUGUCAUGUAGCGGUGAAAUGCGUAGAUAUCUGGAGGAACACCGGUGGCGAAGGCGGCAUCCUGGACCAACACUGACACUGAGGAGCGAAAGCCAGGGGAGCAAACGGG
This 253-nucleotide ribosomal RNA is filed under the name uncultured bacterium. Its description in RNAcentral is "partial 16S ribosomal RNA". It matches the Rfam family "Bacterial small subunit ribosomal RNA", at positions 524 to 776 of the family's 1533-position model. The record is from RNAcentral.